UCGAUUCCUUGCCUUUUUCUCUUUAAAAAUUUCUCCAAAAAUCCGUCCUCCCUAGGUUGGAACGAGCAUACACUUUAUAUAAGAAAAAAAAGAAAAAUCUAGUAAAGUAACUACUAGAACCAAAUAGGCUUUCUACACAUGCAUCGUCUAAAACAACGAUUUUUAUCAGCUGUAGCAAAGAAAGAAACUUCAUAGAAGUCAAAAUAGGAAAAAAUAAAAAUGCCUAGCAACUUUUUUCUAUGGAUAUAAGGCUUUAAUUGAUAGAGAUAGAGGAAGCAAGGUGAAUGCCGAUAAAUUACAAAAUUAGGCCUGACUUAAGUUUUUUGGAGAUGGACAUGCGCGGCCGUGCAUCUGGGUGUAUGACCGUGCAUAUGCUUGCGCACAUCUACCAGUUCAUCUAUGAUACUUGCGCUCUCAUGCGCGUGGUUGGGGAUUCUCGUGCGCGUCCACAUAAGAGAAGUUCCUCCUCUCCCAGCUUUGUUUCCUUCCUCAUCAUGCAAUUAUUUGUCCCGUGAUCCCCUCCGCACCGCCUGGACAGAAAAGCAAAAUAUUGGACAAUAAUCAGACUAAAUAUCUAGAAAAUCAACAAAAUCAAGGCCACAAAUCGAACAUAAAUUUGAGAUUUUAAGCUCAUCAAACACCCUACACUUAUAUUUUGCUUGUCCACAGAAAAUCUAUUACUAAACUACUCCUUACACUGCAACUUCCUUAGACAAAUGGACAAACAGAAUUAACUAGAUCGAAUUAUGUGGUCAGUUUCAACCUUAUCCCUGAUGAUGACAUCCCACUUGUGUCGCGGUCAAAUCCGUGCCAAAUCCUCAACACACCUCAUAAGAAAAAGACAAUGCCCAUUCAAACACUAAUUGGAAACAACAACAUAGGGAAAUAACACAGUAAUCACUCACCCUCACAAUGAAGUGAAUCAUGCUUUCAUCUCCCUAAGCACUUCAAUACCUACAAAUUCCUAUGUGACCUACAUGUUUUUAAGUUACAAUUGCCUCCAGGCUUCCUCUUUAGAAUAACACCCAGUUCCCAUUUCUGAGGAUAAUGUACAAGGACUUUACAUUAACAGGGAAAUGUUCAUUUUUAUUUCAUUAUUCAACAUGAGAAUAUUAUUUUCUUUAGCUUUUCACAAUCCCCUGCUUAGGCACCUUACGUGCAUUCAUGAUUGUGCACCUUUUUUUAAUUCUCAUUGGUUCCACUUGAAACGAC
Molecule: long non-coding RNA, 1212 nt
Filed under: Nicotiana benthamiana
Lineage: Eukaryota; Viridiplantae; Streptophyta; Magnoliopsida; Solanales; Solanaceae
Description: long non-coding RNA (NBEN_LNC016429)
Source: RNAcentral